AUUUAAACAAAGGGAUACAUAAUCUUCAAAUGCAUAAACCGACAGUGUACUAAAUGGCAGAUACUUGUAUAGAGACAAUGUGAAAGUGACUUUUUUCACAACUGUGUGUUUAAAAUUGUUAGAAUACUAUUCAAUACACAAAUGGGUAUUUCUAUAUUGCAAUUUUGGUCCGGUUUAGUCUGUUUACUGUUGAAAUAAGCC
Molecule: long non-coding RNA, 201 nt
Filed under: Mytilus galloprovincialis (Mediterranean mussel)
Lineage: Eukaryota; Metazoa; Mollusca; Bivalvia; Mytilida; Mytilidae
Source: RNAcentral